ACGUAGGGUGCGAGCGUUAAUCGGAAUUACUGGGCGUAAAGCGUGCGCAGGCGGCUUUGUAAGACGGAUGUGAAAUCCCCGGGCUCAACCUGGGAACUGCAUUUGUGACUGCCUAGCUAGAGUUUGUCAGAGGGGGGUGGAAUUCCACGUGUAGCAGUGAAAUGCGUAGAGAUGUGGAGGAACACCGAUGGCGAAGGCAGCCCCCUGGGUCGACACUGACGCUCAUGCACGAAAGCGUGGGGAGCAAACAG
RNAcentral lists this ribosomal RNA (251 nucleotides) under uncultured prokaryote. RNAcentral describes it as "partial 16S ribosomal RNA". It matches the Rfam family "Bacterial small subunit ribosomal RNA", at positions 525 to 775 of the family's 1533-position model. The record is from RNAcentral.